ACGGAAGGCAGCAGUGGGGAAUAUUGCACAAUGGGGGAAACCCUGAUGCAGCGACGCCGCGUGAGUGAAGAAGUAUUUCGGUAUGUAAAGCUCUAUCAGCAGGGAAGAUAAUGACGGUACCUGACUAAGAAGCCCCGGCUAACUACGUGCCAGCAGCCGCGGUAAUACGUAGGGGGCAAGCGUUAUCCGGAUUUACUGGGUGUAAAGGGAGCGUAGUCGGCAUGGCAAGUCUGAUGUGAAAGCCCGGGGCUCAACCCCGGGACUGCAUUGGAAACUGUCAAGCUAGAGUGCAGGAGAGGUAAGUGGAAUUCCUAGUGUAGCGGUGAAAUGCAUAGAUAUUAGGAGGAACACCAGUGGCGAAGGCGGCUUACUGGACUGUAACUGACGUUGAGGCUCGAAAGCGUGGGGAGCAAACAGGAUUAGAUACCCUGGUA
Molecule: ribosomal RNA, 434 nt
Filed under: uncultured Clostridium sp.
Lineage: Bacteria; Bacillati; Bacillota; Clostridia; Eubacteriales; Clostridiaceae
Description: partial 16S ribosomal RNA
Rfam family: Bacterial small subunit ribosomal RNA
Source: RNAcentral